AAAGCGUGGCACUGNUGAUGCUAAUAUAGAUUUUAAGACAUCUUGUAAACA
Molecule: transfer RNA, 51 nt
Filed under: Salamandra atra
Lineage: Eukaryota; Metazoa; Chordata; Amphibia; Caudata; Salamandridae
Description: partial tRNA-Phe
Source: RNAcentral